GACGAACGCUGGCGGCGUGCUUAACACAUGCAAGUCGAACGGAAAGGCCCUGCGUUUGUGGGGUGCUCGAGUGGCGAACGGGUGAGUAACAAGUGAGUAACCUGCCCUUGACUUUGGGAUAACUUCAGGAAACUGGGGCUAAUACCGGAUAGGAGCUCCUGCUGCAUGGUGGGGGUUGGAAAGUUUCGGCGGUUGGGGCUGGACUCGCGGCUUAUCAGCUUGUUGGUGGGGUAGUGGCUUACCAAGGCUUUGACGGGUAGCCGGCCUGAGAGGGUGACCGGCCACAUUGGGACUGAGAUACGGCCCAGACUCCUACGGGAGGCAGCAGUGGGGAAUAUUGCACAAUGGGCGGAAGCCUGAUGCAGCAACGCCGCGUGCGUGAUGACGGCCUUCGGGUUGUAAACCGCUUUCGCCUGUGACGAAGCGUGAGUGACGGUAAUGGGUAAAGAAGCACCGGCUAACUACGUG
Molecule: ribosomal RNA, 468 nt
Filed under: uncultured bacterium
Lineage: Bacteria
Description: partial 16S ribosomal RNA
Rfam family: Bacterial small subunit ribosomal RNA
Source: RNAcentral